UAUUGAGGCCACCGUUGAUCGU
RNAcentral lists this non-coding RNA (22 nucleotides) under Arabidopsis thaliana (thale cress). Lineage: Eukaryota; Viridiplantae; Streptophyta; Magnoliopsida; Brassicales; Brassicaceae. The record is from RNAcentral.